UCCCUGGUGGCUCAGAUGGUAAAGCAUCUACCUGCAAUGCGGGAGACCCAGGUUUAAUUCCUGGGUCGGGAA
Molecule: transfer RNA, 72 nt
Filed under: Ovis aries (sheep)
Lineage: Eukaryota; Metazoa; Chordata; Mammalia; Artiodactyla; Bovidae
Rfam family: tRNA
About the family: Transfer RNA (tRNA) molecules are approximately 80 nucleotides in length. Their secondary structure includes four short double-helical elements and three loops (D, anti-codon, and T loops).
Source: Rfam by way of RNAcentral